Molecule: ribosomal RNA, 491 nt
Filed under: uncultured bacterium
Lineage: Bacteria
Description: partial 16S ribosomal RNA
Rfam family: Bacterial small subunit ribosomal RNA
Source: RNAcentral
GUGAACGCUGGCGGUAGGCCUAACACAUGCAAGUCGAACGGCAGCACCGUAAGAGCUUGCUCUUACGGGUGGCGAGUGGCGGACGGGUGAGGAAUACAUCGGAAUCUACUUUUUCGUGGGGGAUAACGUAGGGAAACUUACGCUAAUACCGCAUACGACCUACGGGUGAAAGCAGGGGAUCUUCGGACCUUGCGCGAUUGAAUGAGCCGAUGUCGGAUUAGCUAGUUGGCGGGGUAAAGGCCCACCAAGGCGACGAUCCGUAGCUGGUCUGAGAGGAUGAUCAGCCACACUGGAACUGAGACACGGUCCAGACUCCUACGGGAGGCAGCAGUGGGGAAUAUUGGACAAUGGGCGCAAGCCUGAUCCAGCCAUACCGCGUGGGUGAAGAAGGUCUUCGGGUUGUAAAGCCCUUUUGUUGGGAAAGAAAAGCAGCAGGUUAAUACCCCGCUGUUCUGACGGUACCCAAAGAAUAAGCACCGGCUAACUUCGUG